CCGGACCAGGGAGAGCCAAUCAGAGAGCAGCACUACUGAAAUAGAACUCCCAGGAGGAGCAGCGUGUCACACAUGUGAUGUCAUAACCAUUGUCCACCAGAGAGCAGCACUGAGCAGAAAUAACACGGCUCCUGCUCAUUCUUCAUCAGUGAGGGGCUGAUGUUGGACACUGUAGGGACCCUGGAAUAUAGGUGCAUACACAUGACUGAUGCAGUAUUUCCAGGAUGUGGAGUCGCAUUUCCGGACUUACAGUAAGAUGACUGUAUUUCCAGGAUGUGGAGUCGCAUUUCCGGACUUACAGCAAGAAGUUGGAUGAAGGCCCAGCCCCAGGAAUCACUCACAUACACAGACACUUUGCCCAAAUUCUAGAGGUAACCUCCUUUAGUAUGCCCAGAGGAAGGGCAAUACAGUAGCCAUGGAUUCCCUACAGGUUUCCUCCCCUCUGGAGGUUUUUCCUGUCCUGAGUUAGUUACUGUACGCUCUUUGUGAGUGAUGGAGGUUACAUAAAAUCCCGACACAAACAUUUUAAUAAAUAAUAAAUAAAGUUCCCCUUU
Molecule: long non-coding RNA, 554 nt
Organism: Hyla sarda
Lineage: Eukaryota; Metazoa; Chordata; Amphibia; Anura; Hylidae
Exons: 4
Source: RefSeq, a predicted model, not a curated record